This 253-nucleotide ribosomal RNA is filed under the name uncultured bacterium. RNAcentral describes it as "partial 16S ribosomal RNA". It matches the Rfam family "Bacterial small subunit ribosomal RNA", at positions 524 to 776 of the family's 1533-position model. The record is from RNAcentral.
UACGUAGGCAGCAAGCGUUGUUCGGAAUUACUGGGCGUAAAGAGUGUGUAGGCGGUGUCGUAAGUUCGGUGUGAAAUCUCCCGGCUUAACUGGGAGGGUGCGCCGAAGACUGCGAUGCUCGAGGAUGGGAGAGGAAAGCGGAAUUCCUGGUGUAGCGGUGAAAUGCGUAGAUAUCAGGAGGAACACCUGCGGUGUAGACGGCUUUCUGGACCACCCCUGACGCUGAGACACGAAAGCGUGGGUAGCAAACAGG